UACGUAGGGUGCGAGCGUUAAUCGGAAUUACUGGGCGUAAAGCGUGCGCAGGCGGUUCGUUAAGUUUGUGGUGAAAGCCCCGGGCUCAACCUGGGAAUGGCCAUGGAAACUGGCGGGCUGGAGUGUGGCAGAGGGGGGUGGAAUUCCACGUGUAGCAGUGAAAUGCGUAGAGAUGUGGAGGAACACCGAUGGCGAAGGCAGCCCCCUGGGCCAACACUGACGCUCAGACACGACAGCAUGGGGAGCGAACGGG
This 253-nucleotide ribosomal RNA is filed under the name uncultured bacterium. Its description in RNAcentral is "partial 16S ribosomal RNA". It matches the Rfam family "Bacterial small subunit ribosomal RNA", at positions 524 to 776 of the family's 1533-position model. The record is from RNAcentral.